UUCCUGAGUUUUAAUUCCUCAGUCUAUCUCUUCUAUUAAUCUCCUAGCCUGGGCAUGAUUACCCGGUGGGCACACUCAGCUACCUCCACCCCUGCUCAGUCCUAGGGCCUGGCAGCUGCUCACCCCGGGGCCCCUGGCACUCAAGGGCAGCAGGUGCAACCACUGCUCCAGUCUUACAUUGGUUCCUGUGUAGACUGGGGUGCGCAUUUGAAAGUAAAUGCCUUAUGCCUUUUGCUGUCAACUCUUAAAAAAGCCGUGUACCAGUGGACCCCUGCAGUUCAAACCCAUGUUGUUCAAGGGUCAGCUGUUCUUCAUUUAGUCCCAUUGCUCCUGCUUUUAUCAGGGUAAGAAACAUAGGUUGUAGUCAUAAUACAAGUGUUUGUUUCCUCUUCCCAACAUACAUUUCAGUAAUCUGGAGCAUAUCCGUGAGAUAACUCCUGUAAAAACACUGUAAAAUGUAAAUCAGAGCACUGUGUGGAAAUGCAAAUAUGAGCAGCUGGAGGGGACUGUCAGGUCAUGUAAGUGUCAUUAGUGAAUGACUGCUUUUGUUGCUUGGUGAGUAAAGGUGACCCGCAUAUUUGUAAAGGCCAUAAGCAAAUGUAAUUUGGAGGGAUGUUUAAUUCCAGCUUGUUCUCAGAGUUCUAUAUAACUUGUGUGUUAGGAAUUUCUUAGUAAUAAGUAUAGACUGUGACAAACUAAUGUUAUAUGCUUACUGCUGAGAUACCAUAAGAAUUAUAUUCCACCCCUGUGAUCUGCCAAACAGAAUUACCCUGAAUCUAAUCAUGAGGACGUUAUCAGAUAAAUUCAAACUGUCGGACAUUUUACAAACCAAUCACCCUGGACUCAGCAAAACUGUGUCAAGUAAUAUUUAAAAAGUGGAUGUAGACGUGUAGGUAGAGAAACUAUUCUAGAUUAAACAGACUAAUAAGUAAUCACAAUCAAAUGCA
Leopardus geoffroyi (Geoffroy's cat) is the source of this 947-nucleotide long non-coding RNA. RefSeq lists it as uncharacterized. NCBI's taxonomy places the organism in Eukaryota, Metazoa, Chordata, Mammalia, Carnivora, Felidae. The record is from RefSeq and is a predicted model, not a curated record. The transcript is spliced from 2 exons.